This 788-nucleotide non-coding RNA is filed under the name Exorista sorbillans. The record is from RNAcentral. Lineage: Eukaryota; Metazoa; Arthropoda; Insecta; Diptera; Tachinidae.
UUAAAGUUUUAUUUUGGCUUAAAAAUUUGUUAUUAAUUUGAUUUAUAUGUAAAUUUUUGUGUGAUUUUAUAUUUAUUUAAAAAAUAAAUAUGAAAAUUUAUUCGCAGUAAUUAAUAUUAUUAAUUAAAGAAAUUUAGAAAUAGCAAUAUAAAAAAGUAUUGACUAAAUUGGUGCCAGCAGUCGCGGUUAUACGAAUUAUGCAAAUAAUUUUAUUUAGUUUAAAGUUAAAUUAUUAAAUUUAAAAUAUAAAAUAAAUUUAUUAAGUGAAAUUUUUAAAUUUAUAAAAAAUUUAAUUUAUUUUAAUUAAAGCUUAAAAAUUUUAAUAAUAAACUAGGAUUAGAUACCCUAUUAUUUAAAAUGUAAUUAUUUAAACUAAGGUAGUAGUAGUUAUGAUCUUGAAACUUAAAAAAUUUGGCGGUAUUUUAGUCUAUUCAGAGGAACCUGUUUUAUAAUCGAUAAUCCACGAUGGACCUUACUUGAGUUUGUUAUCAGUUUAUAUACCGUCGUUAUUAGAAUAUUUUAUAAGAAUUUUUAAUUUUUAUAAUUUUUAAAGAGAAAAUAUAUCAGAUCAAGGUGUAGCUUAUAUUUAAGUAAAAAUGGGUUACAAUAAAAUUAUUUAAAUGAAUAUAAAUUUGAAAUUUUUAUUGAAGGUGGAUUUGAUAGUAAAAUUAUAUAGAUUAAUAAUUUGAUUUUAGCUCUAAAAUAUGCACACAUCGCCCGUCGCUCUUAUUAUUAAGGUAAGAUAAGUCGUAACAUAGUAGAUGUACUGGAAAGUGUAUCUAGAAUGC